AUGCCAAGAUAGAUCAUCAGAGAUUUUAAUGUAGUAAGCCCUCCUCUGGUAUUUAUGUUCAUGAGUGCAAAUUUAUCAAUAUGUAUCAAACUCAGAACAUCACUGGCUCAUUCAUCCUUUCCAAUAAAAAGUGACUAAAUCAUUUAUGCCAAAAGUAGGCUUUAGUGACAUUAUCUAAUCUAGGGUGCUAGUUUGACAUAU
This 201-nucleotide long non-coding RNA is filed under the name Elaeis guineensis (African oil palm). RNAcentral's name for it is "long non-coding RNA (EGUI_LNC062718)". The record is from RNAcentral. Lineage: Eukaryota; Viridiplantae; Streptophyta; Magnoliopsida; Arecales; Arecaceae.